CCUACGGGAUGCAGCAGUGAGGAAUAUUGGUCAAUGGGCGUGCGUCUGAACCAGCCAAGUAGCGUGAAGGAUGACUGCCCUACGGGUUGUAAACUUCUUUUAUAAGGGAAUAAAGUGAUGCACGUGUGCCUUUUUGUAUGUACUUUAUGAAUAAGGAUCGGCUAACUCCGUGCCAGCAGCCGCGGUAAUACGGAGGAUCCGAGCGUUAUCCGGAUUUAUUGGGUUUAAAGGGAGCGUAGAUGGGUUGUUAAGUCAGUUGUGAAAGUUUGCGGCUCAACCGUAAAAUUGCAAUUGAUACUGGCAGUCUUGAGUACAGUUGAGGUAGGCGGAAUUCGUGGUGUAGCGGUGAAAUGCUUAGAUAUCACGAAGAACUCCGAUUGCGAAGGCAGCUGACUAAACUGCCACUGACAUUGAUGCUCGAAAGUGUGGGUAUCAAACAGGAUUAGAUACCCUGGUAGUC
Molecule: ribosomal RNA, 460 nt
Filed under: uncultured bacterium
Lineage: Bacteria
Description: partial 16S ribosomal RNA
Rfam family: Bacterial small subunit ribosomal RNA
Source: RNAcentral